UUACAUCCUGGGCGAGAAACACGCUACAAUGGCCGGGACAGAGGGUUGCCAAGCGGUAACGCGGAGCUAAUCCCCCAAACCCGGUCUCAGUUCGGAUCGUGGGCUGCAACUCGCCCACGUGAAGGUGGAGUCGCUAGUAACCGCAGGUCAGCAGUACUGCGGUGAAUAUGUUCCCGGGGCCCGUU
Molecule: ribosomal RNA, 185 nt
Filed under: uncultured Thermomicrobia bacterium
Lineage: Bacteria; Pseudomonadati; Thermomicrobiota; Thermomicrobia
Description: partial 16S ribosomal RNA
Rfam family: Bacterial small subunit ribosomal RNA
Source: RNAcentral